RNAcentral lists this ribosomal RNA (253 nucleotides) under uncultured bacterium. Its description in RNAcentral is "partial 16S ribosomal RNA". It matches the Rfam family "Bacterial small subunit ribosomal RNA", at positions 524 to 776 of the family's 1533-position model. The record is from RNAcentral.
UACAGAGGGCCCAAGCGUUGUUCGGAUUCACUGGGCGUAAAGGGUGCGUAGGCGGUCGGGAAAGUCUGAUGUGAAAUCUCACAGCUUAACUGUGAAACUGCAUUGGAUACUAUCCGGCUCGAGGAAUGGAGGGGAGACUGGAAUACUUGGUGUAGCAGUGAAAUGCGUAGAUAUCAAGUGGAACACCAGUGGCGAAGGCGGCAUCCUGGACCGAGAUUGACGCUGAGGCGCGAAAGCCAGGGGAGCAAACGGG